RNAcentral lists this ribosomal RNA (497 nucleotides) under uncultured bacterium. Its description in RNAcentral is "partial 16S ribosomal RNA". It matches the Rfam family "Bacterial small subunit ribosomal RNA", at positions 28 to 507 of the family's 1533-position model. The record is from RNAcentral.
GAUGAACGCUGGCGGCGUGCCUAAUACAUGCAAGUCGAGCGAACAGACGAGGAGCUUGCUCCUCUGACGUUAGCGGCGGACGGGUGAGUAACACGUGGAUAACCUACCUAUAAGACUGGGAUAACUUCGAGAAACCGGAGCUAAUACCGGAGAAUAUAUUGAACCGCAUGGUUCAAUAGUGAAAGACGGUUUUGCUGUCACUUAUAGAUGGAUCCGCGCCGCAUUAGCUAGUUGGUAAGGUAACGGGUUACCAAGGCAACGAUGCGUAGCCGACCUGAGAGGGUGAUCGCCCACACUGGAACUGGCACACGGUCCAGGCUCCUACGGGAGGCAGCAGUAGGGAAUCUUCCGCAAUGGGCGAAAGCCUGACGGAGCAACGCCGCGUGAGUGAUGAAGGUCUUCCGAUCGUAAAUCUCUGUUAUUAGGGAAGAACAAAUGUGUAAGUAACUAUGCACGUCUUGACGGUACCUAAUCAGAAAGCCACGGCUAACUACGUG